This 335-nucleotide long non-coding RNA is filed under the name Elaeis guineensis (African oil palm). RNAcentral describes it as "long non-coding RNA (EGUI_LNC063708)". The record is from RNAcentral. Lineage: Eukaryota; Viridiplantae; Streptophyta; Magnoliopsida; Arecales; Arecaceae.
UCCCAAAUUUUUUUAGCUGAAUUAUAAGUAAAAAUAUGAUUAAAUUUAUUUACAUCUAAGGCAUAAUACAAGACAUUCAUGACUUUAGUAUUGAGCUAGACCAUUUUCUUGUCAAACUCAUCGCAUUCACCUUUCAACUUAGGGAGAGACAAACCAUCAAUUAACUUAGUGGGUGUAUGAGAUCCAUUCACUAUGAUACUCCAUAUAUCAUAGUCAAGUACUUAAAUAAAUAUUCUCAUUCGAGCUUUCCAAUAGAUAUAGUUUGAUCCAUUGAAAAGUAGAGGUCAGUUGGUAGAUUGCCUUUUGAUUAGAGAUGUGCCAAAUUGGGCUGCCAU